Molecule: long non-coding RNA, 39085 nt
Filed under: Brachypodium distachyon (stiff brome)
Lineage: Eukaryota; Viridiplantae; Streptophyta; Magnoliopsida; Poales; Poaceae
Description: long non-coding RNA (BDIS_LNC004944)
Source: RNAcentral
UUUUUUUUUGUUCUCUCAAUAUAACUAGAGGUAAUGAAUAAAAAACAACAGUUGUGCAUGAAGAACAGGAACGGGGAGGGGGGGGGGGUGGUUACCAUCGAAAUGGCGGCAUGGGUAAGUUGGAGAACAUCCAAGCAAGCAACAACUCUACCAUCUAUUCAUGGAGAAGUAAAAUUCUGUUAGUUACAAAAAAAAACAAGGAACUCUUAGACUAGAAGAGUCAAGUUUUACCUCCAUCAACAACAGGAAUAUGCAGGAAUUUGCCAUCAUGCAUUAUAUGUAGAGCGUCAAGAAUUGAGGUGUCCAAUGUAGCACAAUCGGGAUGUGCAGUCAUUACCUUGAGCAGUAUGGUAAAUAACACUCAGUCUAGAAUGAAUUACAUAAAGCUUCACAGCAUUUCAAAACAGGACUGGGAGUUAUAAACCUUUUCAACUAGAGUUAAUUCAGGAGAAAGAUUUUGUGCCACAACACGCAUAAGAACAUCCUUUGAGCUGAAUUCCACAAUAACACACCCAUUAAUAGCUCGGUAAGAAACAUAAAAAGAAAACAACAAAUAAAAAAUUUAUAGAAAAAUUAGGGCAGUGCUUACGUAAAGAUCCCUUGCAACGAAUUUCCGUUAGUUAUAACAACUGAAUUGACGCGUAGUUCACGCAUUUUUUGGGCUGCUACAUAAACAGGAUCUGAAAGUGAAACCGUUGCUACUCUGCAAGUUAAUAGAAGAGGUAGCUCUUGUCAUCCAAAUCACCAUUUUGCUAACAACCAACCAAGAAAAAUGAAUAAGAGAAGACAGAUAAUUACUUUGUGUUUUCUGUGAUAAUGGUUGACAAAGAAGGUUUGAACAUCCUUUCUCUUAGAGUUUCUAUUAAAGCGUAAGGAGCUGUAACCACAAAUAGUCAAAAUAUUAGUUUGGUCAGCAACACAUGACUAAGAGAAAACUGCUAAUCAGGUACAAUUAUUAGGAAAAGUACACAUAUCAACCAAGAAAGACAUGGUUCCAACUUUAAAGUUGUUCUAUGACAUGUAAAAGAAACUUGCUAUUAUUAACUAUGCACAAAUAUAGUUCACAUAGCCACAACAUACAUGUUCUAUUACUUCUUAUUUGUGCACCAUCAUGUAAAUCAAUAAAAAAGAAAGAGUUAGCCGGCACAGGCUACAACACAAGACCUGUGAAGUUGCCUCCUAAUUGGCGCUCAACCCCUUCUACAGCAGCUGCAAGUGCACUUCCUUGUUCUGCUGCCUUUUCCAGUCUUGAUAUUGCAUCAUACAUGCAUUUUGCAAUAUCCAGCAUGGCGAUAACCUCACCAUUUUCAACCACUGGAAGGUGUCUAAAUUUCCCUGAAACCAGAAAAUACCAUGUUAAUUUCCAUGAGAGGAUGCAAACGUCUCUAGAAGUAAGCUUUAUGUGAAGAACAUGAGUACACUCAUCAUCAACAUACAUACAUCUGUCCUCACAAAGCUAAAGAAAAUUAGAUAUGUAACCACAUCUAAAACACCCAUUUAAAAUUUCAUCAGAAGAAAAAUAGAGCUAGUCCUUUCAUUAGGCCACUUUUCAGUUGGAAAUUUCAAAUAUAUACAGAUUUAUUAAGGUGUCUCCAAGUUGUAACAAUCAGAACGCACCAAAUAGUUCACCUCGAACCAUAAUUCAUAAACAUGUUAGUUCCUAAUGUUUCAAUUACUUCUUUAUUAAUAUGUCAAUUAAUAUUCUCAGUAUACACAAAUCACUAGGAUUUUCUACUGGUCAUAUUUCUCCCAGUUUCUUUUGUAGAAUCUUAACUUCUCGAAAAUUAUAACUUUGUUGGUUUUUUCGCCAUUCAUGAUAUGAGUUUUGAAUCCAGAUCCAUCUUCUUAGGAGUUAUGACUACUAAAUGCUAAUGCAUAGGGGAUUGAAGCUUUGCAUAGGCUAAACCUUUAAAAAAAUAAUCCUAGAGAUUUUUUUUUUAAAAAAGCAGUGAGAAACCAAAUAACGAAAAAACUCAGAGUUAUUGCAAUAACAUAAUAGGACGAGAAAUAUGGAAUAUUUUUAGGUAAAACUUAACAAACUCUAAGAAAUGAGAAAAAAUGGGAGGAGAAUAGUUAAUGCAGGGUCUUUGACUCUUGCUUAACCAGUCUGAAAGAGGGAAUGCAUUGUAAGCUGUGACGCUGAAAGAUCUUGCUGUCGAUUCAAUAUCUUAAGGGACUAAAUUAUGGCAAGUGGAAAAGAGACAUGCAACAAGCUGAAAGUUUACUGAUCAUUAUGGCAACAAUUACCUUGGACCAUUUUCUGCAGUGCCUCGAUAGCAAGUGUGUCAGACGAAACAUACAGAGGGUUUCUGGUCAUGAUCUUGGAGAUGAUUGUGUGCUCAACGCGCAGCCCCUCGGCAAUAACCCUUGUGGCUACGUCCUAUAUCAGAAUACAGAAGAAAAAGAAGAAAAAGCAGAGCAUGUCAUUCAUCUCAGAAAUUCUAAACUGGCAGUAACCAUUUCACAUGUAGCAGUCACAGAGACUGCUGAACCAGUUCCAGAAAUAUGGUUGCACACAUUCAUGCAUCAAUGAAUCAAAUCAGCUUACAGACCUUUACCAGAUAUAGACUAAAACCACUGUUCCUAAACAUCCCCCUUUUAAAUCCAAAAUAAGUGAAAACAAGCAUACAGCAUCAGUUUGAAAUUCGAAGCAUUACUCAUUAAACAAGAACAAAGGAACACAAACAUAGUCCAGUCAUAAACUAAAGCUGUACUAUUAAAUAACAAUCAAAGUACCCUAGACAAGCCAUUACUCUAGCCACUCAUUGCAUGCAGAGUUACAGACACAAGCAAUCUUUAUUAGGGCACGUAGAGUACAGUUGAAGACAGCCCACUGUUAGUACCUAGAAAUACCCUACCAUUCCAUUCGAGCUCGAAAACCACUAGACAACAACAGGCAACGAGGAUCCCCAGACAGAAAAAGAGGUCACCUUGUCUGUGACAAUGCCUGAGAGGAGGCCGUUGGCGUCGGUGAGCAGCACGGCGUCGACCCGCCUGGCCGCCAUCCGCCGGCACGCCUCCGACACCGUCGUGCCCUCCGGGAUCGUCAGCGCCUUGGACAGCCGCAGCUUCUUCACCGUCCUCUCCCCUCUGACAACAACCCCAACAUUUUUUUUUCCCGUCAGAACUUCCAUGGAAAGGAGAAUUCAAAAAGGAGGAAAGAACUUUCGGGGGCUUAGUAUCAUUACGCGGCGUGGUUGGGAGAUGCGGGCUUGGAGGAAGGAGCCUUCCCGUUCCCAUUCCCGUUCCCGUUGCCGUUGGCGGUGGUGGCGGCGGAAGCGGAAGCGGAAGCGGAGGAGGGGUCGUCGGACUUGCGGGAGGAGGCGGCGGACGGCGGCCGGCUGCGCGUGCGGCGGCUCUGCGCCACGGCGGUGUUCAUGGCGGCGGCGGAGGAGCAGGGGAGCGUGUGAAGCGCUAAUCAGGGGUUAGACUGAGGUGCGGGGAUCGAAGAGGGAGGCCGGCGGGGAGGCGGCGGCGAAUGUUGGAGGAGGGAGGGGAGCGGUCGCUGUAGACUUCUGUGUGGGUAUUCGUGGUGGAGGCUUUUUACGUUCCAGACCUUCGAUGCUGCAUUAUUUGAGUUAAGACGUUCGUCGUGUCAUGCUUCAAUGCUUCGUGCUUGGUGCAUAAAUGAUAAAAAUAAAUACAGAAAUAGGAGUACUACUUGUAAGUACACCGUAUAAUAAUUUCAACCAUAAAUACUUGUACAUUAGUAUAACGGAAUCAGGAGUAAGUAAAUAUCAUAAAACCCGACCUUUGAGGCUUCUGUAUCCCAAAAAUCAAAUUUACGAGGAUUAAAUCACAUAACCACAUUUUUAGGACACAAUAUAACAACUUACUCAAAACUCAGUAUUAAGAGGUUUUAUUUUCAUUUUUUUGGUGGGGCCAAUUGGUGGGCCUUAUGUGGAGCUACAAGUUGCUACACUGGCCAUCUAACAUGGAGGAGACCUAACCUUCAUUUUCUUGUUGCACAUUUGCCUUUUCUUAUGUGGCAAGAUUUUCGAAAAAAAAUUUGAUCGAGCGAAACGAUAACAUAGAUGGCCAUAAAACAUUAGUCAGAAUACUGGACGACGAAGGAGGUACAACUAAAGUAGGUAUCAUACAUGGAAAACAAACACUAGUGUCGAAGGAGAACGAUGAUGACCCUCGUUUUGGAUGGAGUUGUGGCAUAUUUGCAAUUAGUUGGAAUUCGUACACCCGGAUCUAUGUAAAGCCAACGGCUAUUUAGUAUUAACAAGAGACAGGAUGCAGCAAGCAUACAUCUCAUGGGUCGUUUUUGUGAUACAAAAUCAUGAUCAUUGGAUGAUCCAUGUUCAAACGGCACUUAUUAAUGGAAUAAUCAUUGGCUCAUGUUUUACUUUGAAAAUAAUAAUUAAAACAACAUAUAUUGCAAUGGAAGGAGCAUUCAUUAAUUAAAAAGGAUGCUAUUUUUAUCACACCUUGCAAACAAUGUUGCUUGUGCACCCGUUCUUCACGAGCUCAUAGUGAAGUAGCGAACCAGCCGCGGCAGAAAUUAAUCAGUGUCCUUGACGCCACAGGGACGUCCUCGUGAUAACGUGACUCAACAGGGUGCAAAACGGAAGUUGAUGCCAUGAUGAUAUCGGUGGUAUACGUAUAUCAACUUGUACGCUUCCCAGUUGACUGCGACCGGCCUGGGGAGUCACCGGACGGUGGAGCCAGGUUCUGACAGCUCUAUGGGUCCCUUUCCACGGAUUGGCUGGGUGCGCUCGUCCUGGUAGCUUUGUCGCGCCGCAUCGAGAGAAUCGAUUCGAAUUCUUCCCACGUGCGUAAUAUUCAAGCACUUUUUUCUCCUGUUUUUUUUUUAAGAAAUUGAAAGCUGCCUCUCGUGUGGCCAAUUAUAGUUGCCAAUGGGCCAUCGUUGUAAAGAUGGGCCUUUUGAGGCUUCAUUUAUUUUGCUUUGUAGAUUGGAGUGGGCUGAACAACACAUAUACAUGCGUAUGCACUGGAUCUGUCGGGCCACAUUCUGGGCUAAGCCUUAGGCCAUCGACCCCUUCGGCCCUGUCUGUCGUCUCAUGGCCGUUCCUGAGUUUCCUUAAACAACAGCUAAUGGCAGUGCAUAAACCCUGUACUAGCCUAAUAAACAACUACUACUACGUUGGAUUUAUGCCGGCUGUCAAAAAAAAAGGUUGGAUUUAUGCCGAUACUCUCGUUUUUUUUUAAUGUUUUUGGUUGAUUGUAUAGAGCAAUCCGGGCCAAUGCAUUUUAUGAACGAGGAGUAUGUGUGAGGGUGGAAUUAGCUUGCGUUCGACAAGAUUGUCCAGAACAUACUCCGUCAGUUCCGUAUUAAAUUGAUGUUGUGGAAAGCUAAAAAGUCGAUCAAAUAUUUUGGAACAGCGGUAAUACUCUAAAAAGCAUAGAUUAAGCUACUCUAAAAUGUAAUCUCUAUUGGUGUGUGGGUCUUAUUUUCUAAUUUCCAACAUGAAGUUCCAUACUGCUGAUGAUUUAUGCUGCGUACAGACCAAUCGAGUGGAUGUGUCUCUCAGAAUUAACAAAGAAGCCCACAAUGGUCUUGUCCGCCGGCGCGGUAUAGCGAGUAGAAGGUUGGUUCCUCGGUGCUCCAUAAGGCCCAUACGUGGCCACGUCGGUGAUAAUUAGAAGUUCAACUAUAUAAUCGUCCAAAGUUGCCACUGAUAUUUCCUUGACAAACUCGGAAGGGCCAAACUUGAUCUGCAGAUAGCAUAAAAAGAAACAAAACAUUACUGAAGCGGUCAUGCAAUUUGCCUAUAAAUUAGUUUUAUUGAGCUGCCAUUUUCUUAACGAACCAAUAACAUCGAGUGAAGGGGAUAAAAAUAUAUAUUUAAACGCGCGCACCGUUCAUGUACUAUAGUGAAAGUCAUCGCCCCAAUGACCUGCUGUGUGAACCUGCCCAUCUUCACCGAUGUAAGUAAAUGAAAUUCCAUCAACAUUACUCCCACUCCAGAUUGUCACCGUUUCUAGACGUUGGGGUUUUCCUUCCAUUUCUUGAAGGGAACCGCCAGUUGUACCCCAUGGUGAAAGAUCGGUAUGGUUGGGUAGAGGGGGGUGAAUAGACGACUAACAAAUUUUAAUCUUUUUCUUUUCUAGAAAGAUACAGACACUUAACCUAGGAUUUACUAAAUUCUCUAAAAGUAAUGCAACCCUAGGAUGAAGUGCAAUAGCCGAAGUAAUAGCCGAAGCAACUAGAUAACAAGAAUGUAAAGGAUAAGAAUGGAUACCACACGAGAGACGAAGAUUUCACCGGAGUUCCACCGAUUGGGGUAGGUGCACGUCUCCGUUUGGAGGAGUGCUCUACCACAAAGGUAGAGACGCCACAAAAGCUCACUCUAUUCUCCUCUCACGGCACCACAAAGGUGAGUGAGCUCCACUAAUGACUUCCUUGAAGGCGAAGACCGAACCUUUACAAACUUGACCGGGGCUAGCUCCACAACUCAAUUGGAGGCUCCUAAUCUAAUCCUCAAGCUCCACAAUCCCCAAGGAAAGAGCUCAAGGCAACCACUUCCGUCUAGGGCUCCCAAAUGCCUAAGAGAAAUGAAAUCCACAAGAGAAACAAGGAGAAUCAACUUUGUGACUUAGUGAAACCCUAGAUCUAGGUCUUCUCCUUCAAUUCUCAAAGAAUCAACAAGGAGAAAGCUUUAUGGAGGGAGAUCUAGUAGAAUGAAGCUUAGGGAGUUCUUGGGAGAGAGGGGGCUGUUCUUUGCUUCGUGCUCGGGCAAAAAAACCGUUGGGGACGAAGGGGUAUUUAUUUGGACUUCACAAAAUCUAACCGUUAUGCACCGCGAUUCCCAGGGGCGGAACUUCCACUGGUCACCGGAAGUUCCGGGUGACAGGAAGUUCUGGCCCUGUUCCGGCUGAACUUCCGGAAAUCCACAAUGGAUUCCAGUAGCGUUGCGGACCUGGUCCAGAGGUUGGGCGGAAGUUCCGGUCUACCGGAACCCCACCGGAACUUCCGGACCUGGGCAAGCAAAUGCACAUCAGUUAGGCUCUAUAGUUGGUUCUCUCUCACUUUUUGGGUAGGUUUUAUGUGGAUGCAAGAUGUUUGUUUGUGUACGUGAAAAGCAAUUCACCCAUUACCUUCCCAUGUGGACUCCCUCUUAAUAGUACGGAGUUCCAACGACUCAAUAACCGAAAAACCCGCUACCACUACUCUUCGUCUUCCAACUUGAGGGCAUCGAAUCGUUUUGCGCCAUUUGAUAUCAAAUCUGAAAUACUUAACGCACGAUUAGUCCACACCACACGUUGUCAUCACCACCAAAAUUAACUAGGAGAGAAAUGCCCUUUCACAUGACCCCACCUUUGUUGGGGCCGGAAGUUCUAUUUGCACAUAUAAUGGAGUGAGCAACCAUUGAUAUGCAACAAAUAGUGUGGGAGUAAAAGUAUAGACAUAGACAAGAGAUUAUCUACCGAAGUUUUCGUUAAACUUGUAAUCAGUUCUCUCCAUCAACAUCGGGAAGUAAAGAAAUUAAAAGAAAAUUAAGAUCGAAUUAACCGACCGACAGUUAACACCGACACACCAAUUGUACGUAGUGCUCCACGUACCCUUCAUUGUCUAUCACCACGGAACAUACGCACCCUUUCUUCUUCUCACAUGUGCAUCUACCACCACAUCUCUACCUUGCUCACCCUAGCUAUAGCAUUCCUCCUAGACCACUCUAUAUCCUGUAAUCCAUUGACACGGUGGUGGAUGCAGGUUGUCAAUACCGGUACGGCAGACAGUGUAUGAAUUUUCAAUAUUGGCCGGUGGGCCAAAGACACUGGGAUUCUAUUAAUUUCUUCCUUUUGUGUUGAUAAUUUCGACCAAUGUCUCGUUCCAUGCUUUGCCACCUUGUGUUCUUGGGGCUGUUUAGAUUUUACUGUAACAUGUUCCGUUCUUAAUUAGUAUAAACCUCACAAUCUGCAAUUCAUAUUUUCCUCCAUGCGGUCUAUAGGACGUGGACAGUACGCAGCUCCACUAUGGUUCAACAUGGACACGGCUCAUAUAUCCUAGCUAGCGGUUAGAAACUAAGUGCAAAAAUAGUUACACUUCAAAACGUCAAUAAAUGGAAUUGUUCUGCAUGACUGUUGCAGUCUGAGUCUGUAAUGCUAUAUUAAUGACAUGUGUUGCACACAUCCAUGCAUGUACUUAGUCACCCGGCCUGAUAAAUAAUCGAUCAAUCAGUCAACAAGAAGAAGAUGGCAGGAAGGUACAGCGAGCCACAGAGAAGGAACAGAUCGAGGUCAUCACCAUGAAAGCAAGAAUUAAGAUCGAGAUGUGAGAGCCAUUGCCAGCAGCGGUUGGCACUAGAGACGUGGAUGAACCAGCAUUGGGGCUAUGCAUCGACGGAGAUCUUUUUAUUACGACCUCUUUCAUAACAUAUAGCAAAGGGAAGAAACAACUAACAUCAACUAAAAAAGUUGGCACUGUUAAACGUGGGCCAAGAUCUAGCACAUUUAAAUUAGUUUGAUCAUAACUAAAAAAGUUCUACCAGCCGCUUUCAUAAAACAUAAUUGAAACCAAAUGUGCAUGACAAUUUCUGCCUUGAUUUGUUUGUUGAGUCAACUCCAUUUCCUUUCAUCUACAAUUUAGGGCCAACUUGCAAAAUACCUUGAGUAUUUGUUUGUUUUAGUCAUUUAGCCUUGCGUUACACGUAAUUUUCUCUAAACUAAGAGUUAAUUGUAGCAUGACCGUUUUGGUACUAAAGUAGAAUAUCUCUCCUAUUCAAUGAAAGAUAUCUACAUGCAUCCUAUAAAUUGCUGCAACACUUUGCGUUGAAAGAAUGUAUGCUUGCAACUAGCAACAUUGCAUUGAUGCAAUAACCACUAUAGCCACGCCACAAUACUCAUAUAUAUGCAACGCCAAUGAUAGUUGCUUCUAUGCCCUAUUACUACGUCACAUUGAUGGCAAAAGCCCCUAGGUUAUGGCAACGUUUAAAACAUGUAUCUGAAAUCUAUAGCUACGGCACCUUUACCAUCGCCUGCCAACACUUGCGUUUUGCUGCGAUAUCUAAAUAUUGCAACGAAAAGGGACAUUUUGCAACUUUUUUUUCCCGUGGCCUCUGGUGGAUUCGUUAGUAGUUUAAAUUAUGGAUCAUCCUAUUAUCAUACAUCAAGUCAUAUCCUUCUUAUAAUGACUAACCUUGAGAAUAAUAUUACGAUGAAGAGUUUAUUAUUGGACAAAUGCCGGAGACUUUGCAUGCUUUUUUUCUUAUGAUUUUUAGCAAUCUACAAUAAAGAGGAUUAAUCAUUUUACUUCAUGUGUCUAACCUCAUUACACUUCUAAACACAUUUCUUUUUUGCAUCCUAUUUACACAAUAGGGUAAGUAUCAACCUUGCGGAUGUUGAUAUGUUAAAAACACACAUAGUACUUCUUGAAGUUCGAUGAGGAGUUUUUCCUAAAACCAAUAAAACAAACAGAACCUCGCUGCUCCCCAUUCGCUAAUUGAUGUGAAUAUGAGAUACCGGUGUAUGCUAUACUGUUGGUGUAUGAGAUGGAUGGAAAUAGUUCAUAUGUAUGGGAUUCCUUCGAUGCUUGUAUAUCUGUGUUUGGGUCUAGUGUGGAUAAGUAUAGAUGGAUGGCAAUGGAUUUGUUCAUUCAAUGUGUAUUCAUAUGUAUGCUUGUUGUUCAUGUAUAUAGAUGGAGCAAGAAAAACAGAACCAACCCAAAGCAAAUUGGGAUGCAACCUGCUGCCAGUGCAUUUUGUGGGACAUAGUGUUGAUCACUUCAAACUUCACCAGAGCCAGCUCCAUCAGGGUCAAGAGCUAAGUAUAUUGUAGUUUUGUGUCUCGACGCGAAAUUAAGAGGAUUCAUGUUUCCUUUUUACUUGUGUAUUUAGGUGCACCUCCACGCCUGCAAAUUUAUUAUCCCCGGCAGACGAUAGACUUUUCAUUCUUCAAAAAAAAUAUCUCGUGCCAGUAAAUCCUCUCAUGGCAAGCGUCAGGAACUCAUACAAGAAACUCGAGAAACACAGAAAGAAAGCUCAUUCAACAUUAUCAUCACUUUGAUGCCGAUAAAAACAAUGUAUGGGAUAAAUUUAUUUUUGAUGGAACAUAACAUACAAAGUGACAACAAAUCACUGAUGCAAAGAUGGCACGGGAGGACCCUAGCCAUGCAUACAUUUUAUUCCUAGAACUUGGAAAUUAGAAGCACAACUGAAAGAAACAUGUCACGGCAGUCCUAGCCAUAAUACUUGUUGUUCGACUAGUGGAAAUUAAAUAUGCCACAACAACAUGCAGUUCCAUACUGAUGAUGAUUUAUGCUGCGUAGAGACCAAUCGAGCGGAUGUGCCUGUCAGAAUUAACAAAGAAGCCCACAAUGGUCUUGUCCGCCGGCGCAGUAUAGCGGUUAGCAGGUUGGUUCCUCCGUGCUCCAUAAGGCCCAUAUGUGGCCACGUCAGUGAUAAUUAGAAGUUCAACUAUAUAAUCGUCUAAAGUUGCCACUGAUAUUUCUUUGACAAACUCGGAAGGGCCAAACUUGAUCUGCAGAUAGCACAAAGAAAGAAACAAAUUAGACAACACUGAAUAUGGUCAUCCAAUUUGCCUAUAAAUUAGUUUUAUUAAGCUGGAACUUUCGUAAUGAACCAUUAAAAUCGAGUGAAGGGAUACAAAUAUAUAUUUAAACGCACCGUUGAUGUACUAUAGUGAAAGUCAUCGCCCCAACGACCUGCUGUGUGAACCUGCCCAUCUUCACCGAUGUACGUAAAUGAAAUUCCAUCAACAUUACUACCACUCCAGAUUGUCACCGUUUCUAGACGUUGGGGUUUUCCUUCAAUUUCCUGAAGGGAACCGCCAGUUGUACCCCAUGGCCCCACCUUCGUUGGAGCCGGAAGUUCUAUCUGCACAUGUAAUGGAGCGAGCAACCAUUGAUAUGCAACAAAUAGUGUGGGAGUAAAAGUAUAGACAUAGACAAGAGAUUAUCUACCGAAGUUUUCGUUAAAUUUGUAAUCAGUUUUCUCCAUCAACUUCGGCCGAAGAAAUUAAAACGACCAAAUAUUAUACUUUAGGAUGCGCAUGUUUGUAAAUGUCUUGAGCAAAAGUUGAUGAGAAUGUGAAUAAAAGACGAGAAUAGGAAAGAAUGUUAUGCUCACGUUCUUCAUGCGGCAGAACGCGUCGAUAUUAAGCUCUUGCAUUUCCCCAUUAGUUAUGUCGGAAUGAAAUUUUCUCUCGAUGACACCACGUGCCAUUGAAAAGGCGCCGGUCCCGCCAACGAUAGCCCACUCACCUUGUUUCUUGGCCAUUACUCCCAUUACCUCAAGCGCGGACUCCUUGAACCUAUGUAAUUGCACCGAAAAAUAUCAUGCAGGUACCCAAACAUAUCUAGCUAAUAUUAUAGUGCAUGACAAGUUAGUUUGUCGACUAGCUACGUAUAUAUAGCUAUCCACGCUGCCUGCCUAGCUUACUACAAGGUAAAAACAAAGUUCAAUGGAAACUUAAUUUGAACAUACCUUUCAUUCUGGAACACCAUGGUGAAUGAAAUGUACCAGCCAGCGGCAUUCAUAUGCAUGCCUUUUGCAUGGGCAACUACCUCCGCGUCUGGACCCACACCGUCAUAGAGCGCCCAAUUGUUGACGGCGGUCUGACCGAGCCUAGUACUAUUGUCUCCCCUUAUUAUUUCUAACUGGUUGGCACUUGGCCCAGAAAUGAUGCGGCGCAAGUACAAGUUGCUGAAGUUAAGCCUAGCAUUCUCCACAAGAUCACCGUAGCAACGGAUGACCUGGAAGCUGCUGGAGGAUUUGGCCAUGGGUGAGUGCUGGGAACUAGCUAGCUAACUGUCAACUAGGGUAUGGUCUUGCUAGCUUGGCUAAGUUUGGUUGUUUGCUGUGUAAAAUGCAGCAGAUGGCGAGGGGUAUUUAUAGGACCAGAAUCAGGGAAGCCCAUCCAUGCACCACCUUCUCUAUUCCUGUUUACUUGGAGUACUGCUGUUUUCAUCACAUGCAUUAGGAUUCAGGAGCGGCUAGUUCAAGCACAAGAUAUGAUUAAUUAGAACAUCCAAGAGAAAGCGCGUGGCACUUGCUUAAAAGAAAAGAACCGACAAAGAGUAUCAUUUGUUUCAAAGAUAAGUGAGCUUGUUAAUCACAUGAUCAAUUAAAUGGUGACAUGGAUCGAUAGACUUUAGACGAUUUUACUGAGGCACGUGAUUCAGUAAUUAAGAUCUCAUUUUGUCGGCUAUGAUAUUAAAAGCAUAUCUACCAGAGAUGCCAACGUGAAGUCCCUCUGGAAACAAAAAAAUAUUUACACCAGCUGCUGUUGGACAUUUGGAUCUUAAAAAUAUUUUUUACUAGUGCUAACAAUGCUUUCGAUAUCAGCAGAGCGGCAUUGUGGUACGUGAAGCGUGCGUGGCAGAUCGAGCACGUUUUCUUAACCGACAAACGGGGCAAAAUGGUGUAAUUUCCUCGAAGCUUGGACAAGCAACUGUGAAAUUAAACUGCUAGCCUAUACCUCCAAAUAGCUCCCCUAUUUUUUUUUUCUAGAAUCAUUUAUAGAAAGGAGAAACUCCAAACAGCUCCCCUAUUUUUCAUAGCUAGUAGCCGACGAUAGGUAUAUUUAUAUCAAAAUGGUUCAUCAAUGACAUAAGGGCAUCUCCAAUGGUGGUUGGUACUAAAUUUGUGUUCUUCAUUUUUUUUAAUGUGUUUCCUUUUUCUUAUUCAUAUUUUUUUUUGAUGAACCCACAUGUCAUCCUCUUUUCUGUCUUGGUAUCCGUAUAGUACCUGUUACUUUUUCAAGUAACCACUAAUUAGUUGUGGUAUUUAUCUCUCCUCCACAUUGACCACUAUCUUUUUGGUAUCCGUGUAGUACCCAUUGUUGAAGAUGCCCUAAUACAUGAGACACAAGUUAUACUUAUACAUAUGAGGUACAAUUUUUUUGACUUCCUACGUUUAUAUUGUGUUCCCACCGGCGGUGGUGAUUAGUUAAACAAUAACUUAGCAUAUUGCAAUAAACAGACGUUAGAACUCUAUCUUAAACUAAAUUUUAUUAUAUCACAUACAAAAUCUAUAUAUGUUGAGUUGCAUACACCAACUAAUUAAUUUUAUUUUACUUUACUAGCACAUUGUAGAAGAACUGGUGCCUCCUUUAAUUAGAGGUGUAGAUAUCGAAGGAAAGUGGAGCGAGUCGCGGUAGAGGUGGGAUGAGUGGAUCCAGAUGUAGGAGUCGGAGGAGAUGAUGAUAACGACGGGUUGUACAUGUGGGCUCACAAGCUUUUUCACAGGUCGAGUGGAAGCCAGGAGACUCCCAUUUCUGGGCCGGUCUGAUGAAGGUGAAGCGAGAUUUUCUUCGCUUCGGAUCCUUUCAUAUCCAAGACAGGUCUCAAGUUCGCUUUUGGGAAGACAUCUGGCUAGGUACACGCCCACUUUGCGAGCAAUACCCGAGUCUUUUUGGUAUCAUCCGGAACAAGCACGAUACCAUCGCCCAAGUUCUCAGUUCACCCAUAGGAAUGUUUAUUUUCAGUUAGCUCAAUGUACCACGUGUUGGUCCAUAGGCAAUUGUGGAAACUAAAAGUGCCUCUCAAGGUAAAAGUUUUCAUGUGGUUGUUGCGACAAGGGGUCAUUCUCACAAAAGAUAAUUUGCAAAAAUGAAAUUGGCAUGGAAACCCAAAGUGUGCCUUUUGUGCUCAGAUGAGACGAUCAAGCACUUGUUUUUUAAUUGCCAGUUCGCACGUUCUGCAUGGUCCACCAUUCAGGUGGCUUCUAACCUUCGCCCACCAAAGCGUGUCAAAUAUUUUUGGCAAUUGGCUAAAUGGUAUAGGUACAAAGUUUAGAGCUAUAAUUUUGGUGGGGCGACCGCUCUUUGUUGGUCGAUAUAGCUGUGCAGAAACGAAAUUGUAUUUAACAAUCGACAAUCCACCUCUUUUAUGUAGGUUAUUUACCGUUCAUGGUCGUUGCUUCAACGAGAGGAAGACAUUACCUAUGAUUACGGCCGCAUGCUUGCAAGUGAAGCGGGCAGUCAGGGAGGUGUUCACCCACAAUGGGUGGCAGCAUAGUUUACGUCUGCAGGCUUCUUAAUUAGCUGAUGUUCGGUUGUAGUUAUUUAUUUUGACUCUCGGCUUUGUUUGGUUUUCCUUUGGUUGUGUGCAUCUUUGUUAUGCAGAGGCCGGGUGCAUGCGAACUCUGUUUGGUGUAUCUUCUUGAUGCGACAUCUUAGUUCAAUAAAGCUUCCAUUAGGAAAAAAAACCACGGUUGUUGAGGCGGCGCGUUUCUACGAGCUUGGACCGAGGCAGGAGCACCUGCCUGCCACCGUGGGAGGCACACAGUACAUAGUUGGUGACGACACGGCGAACCGUGGCAUCACACUAUUGGGUCAGCCCCGGUAUGUACAUCCAUACACCACACCACUUAUAUUCGUUUCUACGUGGAGUAUUUAUGAUCGGACUCCUAUUUUCAUCACGGGCGUCAUGAGCGUGGAUCACGGUGUAGAUCAAUUAUCACAUUCAAAUGAGAGAGCAUACCGUUGUAUCACAUUCUACCGAGAGAGCACAUGCAUGACGCUUCCACGAAGGUUAAAAAAACCCCGACCAAGAGCAUAUCAUUUGUUUCAAAGCUAACAGACCUAUUUAAUAAUUACUCCCUCCGUUUCAUAAUUCUUGUCAAAAUAUUACAUGUAUCUAGUCGCUUUUUAGGAAUAGAUACAUCCGUAAUUCUUGUCUCAAAUUUGCCCAAAAAUGAAUGUAUCUAUUCCUAAAAAGUAUCUAGAUACACAUAAUAUUUUGACAAAAAUUAUGGAACGGAGGUAGUAGUAAUCACUCAGAUUAGUGCUGGCAUGGAUGGAAUUUAGAAAGUUUUACCGAUGCACGUUAAUUAUUAAGUGUUUCAGGUUCAGCGUCAUCUUUCUACAGAGAUACAUGUGCCCUCUGUUUUUCAUAAUGAUGUUUGUAGUUUUCGUUUUGCAUGCCCUGGCUAGGUCAAUUUUUCCUCUAACAUUCAGUAAGCGUGUAGAAAAAUGUACCACUGUCUAAAACACUAAAUUAAUUUAUUCGAUCUAUAUGGAUGAGGAUAUAUGCAAUGAUUUCUCAACAUGUUUGAAGGAUUAAAGGAUGUCCUAAGUGAAACGUGGAAUUGUCCAGAUCUUGAACAGGGAAAGCAUUCCUAAUUUGAGCAGCAAGAUUGUGGUCCACCUUCUUACUAAAAAGAAUAGCAGAUUUGUUCUAGUUGGGGGUCUGGCCCGAGUCGCGACAAAAGUCAUCAAUGAUUUGUCGGACAUUUUUCGCUUCCUGACAAGUUGCCUGACCACAUAUCAGAAGAUCAUCUGCAUACAUUAAAGAAUGAAUAGGAGGGCAAUGUGGGCCAAGAGAGAUACCAUUGAGCUGUCUACUCUGCAACGCUUCCUGUAAGGAGAUGGAUAAUUCGUUAGCAGCAAGGACAAAGAGGUACGGUGAUAAAGGACAUCCUUGUCUUAUUCCGCGGCUGACAGAGAAUCUCCCAAAAGGUUGGCCAUUAAUGAUAACGGAGAAGGUAGGCAACGAGAUGCAGGCCAUGAUGAGAUUAAUGAAAUUACCAUGCAGCCCUUUACGUAGAAGCGCUCUCCGAAUGAAGUGCCAUUCUAGACUAUCAAAAGCCUUGGCUAAAUCGAUCUUGAGCAUGAAAGCUUUGUGAUUCCAGGAAGAGAGAUUGAAGGAGUGGGCUAUUUCUUGAGUUACGAUUAGAUUAUAAGUGAUACGCCGACCUAAUAAAAGCUUAUUGCAUAGGGUCAAUAUGAUCAGGAAGAUGACAUUUGACUCUGUUAGCAAGAGCCUUAGAAAUGAUUUUAGAAAUGACAUUACAGAGGUUGAUAGGUCUAAAAUCAGUAGUAGAAAUUGGAACCAUUUUCUUAGGAAUUAAAGCAAUAUGAGUUUCAUUGAGUUUAUGUGGCAUUAUACCUGAGGUGAAAAAAUUUCUUACCACCUUAACAAUGUCAUCUUCAAUCCAAUCCCAAGGUGCAAAAUAGAAUCCCACAUUGAAGCCAUCAGGUCCUGGGGAAGCAUUCUUUUUCAUGGAUUUAAGAAUCUGCAAAAUUUCAUCUUUAUCUGGAAUGGAAUAGGUAUACUCAUCAGGGAGCUCCUCAUCUGCUUCAUGCUCCGAUAGUCUAUCAUGUUCAUUGUUAGAGGAGGAAAACAAUUCAAUUCCAAACUUAAUGGUUUCAAGGCCAAUCGUCUCUCCCAUGCUGGUAGACUCACGCUCAUUAAUUCGGUUUUUUCCUCCAUUCCUGUCCACUAUAUGUCCAAUUUCCUUUUUUCCAGAAAAUUCUUAGCAAAGCUCACUGCUAUCAUAAGGAAUUUCUGGUGGACUGAUGUCACGGAUAGAGAUUCAACCAAACCCCUUUGUCUUAAAGCUUGGGAUGACAUUUGCAAACUCAAGAAGAUGGGUGGGCUUGGAACCAGAAGCAUCCAUGCCAUGAAUAAAAGUCUUUUAGUCUCUUCAACCUAGAGGAUCGUCAAUGAGCCCAACAGCCAUCUCUCGCUAAUCCUUAAAGCCAAAUAUUUUCCAACAAACUCCUUUUGGAAGCCUAAUUGUAACACUCCCAAAUCUUCUUUCUGGGCUUCCAUUUCCAAGAUUAAACACAUGCUUUAUGACUCCUGUUUUUACCAAAUCAGAGAUGGUAAUAGCUCCAUUUGGAGUUCCCCCUGGUUCCCUUACUGGAAAAACAUACAUGAUUACCUUAGAAUCCAGAACAAGCCUUUUUCUUACCCGGCUGUAGUUAAAGAUCUUUGGCUUGAUAAUUGUAAAGUCUGGAAUGCUAACUUGGUUUUGUAGCUCUUUGAUCAACCGGCGGCGGAUGAAAUUCUCAGAACUGCCAUUUUACCAGGAGAUGGAGAAGAUAUCCUUUGCUGGAAACACAAUGCUUCUGGGAUUUGCACUACUAAAGAGGCUUAUAAAUUUUGUGCUCAAAGUCUUCAAUCCUCUACUUCUCCUACCACUGAUUCUCAACAGGUAUCUUCUGCCAUGAUGGAAAUUUGGAAAAGCAAAACCAUUCUUCCUAGAAUAAAGAUAUUUGCUUGGCGUCUCCUUCAAAAAGCCCUUCCCACAGGUAAAAGAGCAGGUAAAUUUCUAAGAACAUCUCAAAAAACUGCAUCAGGUGUGGAGUGAUUGAGGAUGAAGUUCGUAUUUUCUUUCUUUGCCCUUUUGUCAAGGCUGCUUGGUUUGCUUCCCCCUGCUAUGCAACACAACUCUAUCAUCAAUAUUCUUGCUUCUAUUUCUCAUUCAAGUCAUCCAAAUGCUUCCAUUCAAAACAUCUUCACCUUCAUCUGGUGCAUUUGGAAGUCCAGGAACUCUCACCUCUUUAGCAGGAAGGUCACCUCCCCUUUACAGAUUGCUUCAAAUGUGAAUAACUUGUUUGCAGGGUUGGAGCUGGAGUCUACUGCGGAUUUGAACAAAAAAACAGGAUCUUCCACACUCUUACUCCACCCCCAUUUCUACUUCACAAAUUUCUCAUUUGCAGGGCUUUAACGUCUACUCUGAUGCAGCUUGGAAGUUGCCUGGUGAUGGCAAUGAUGCUUCAAUUGCAGGUCUUGGUGUCUUCAUCGAAUCGCUGGGCCCAAACAACAGAUGGAUAGCCAAGAUUCAAGCUACUUCUUCCCCAGUCUCUUCAGCUCUGCAGGCUGAAGUUCUAGGUGGUCUCCUUGCUGAAGCAAAGCAGAUCACAGAUAAUCAAAUCCUGAUGGUUGCCUGUCAGCUGAAGGAUGUGAACAACCACCCUGGUCACUGGUCAAUAAGAGCUUAUCUAUCACAGAUCAUUGAUAUCCAUUCUAGGUUGAAUAACAGGAUGAUUUUCACUCCAAGAGACAACAAUACUUUAGCCCAUCAAUUAGCUAAGGAUGCUAAGAAAAGGGGUAACAACAGCCCUAUCAUCUCUUGUACCAAUGAUUUUCAGAGGACUGUGGGUUGUCCUUUUAGACAACGGUGUAACUCCCAAAGUUCUGUUUUAUACAGGCUUCGCCAUGUACUAUGUUGUUAAUGAAUAAAUUCCCUUUCUUAAAAAAAAAAACAUGUUUGAUUGUUAGACGUCGGUCAUUAUUGAACCCUCACACGCGGAAAAUGUAUAGGCCCCCGGCCUCCGACCCAGCAUCUCCAUUGGGCCUCCGACCCAGCAACAGGGCCCCCGAGGCUGUUCUAAGAAAAAAAAAAGCAGAAACAAAAAACAGGGCCCAUCGAUGUGGCUGUCCACCGAAAAGGUACAAUGCUUGGUUUUGGACGCGAAAGAGGGUGUGGGCUGUCCAUCGAAAGCAUAUCACCGUUGGGCCUCCAACCUGGCUGGACGCACACCUACACCAACAGGGCCAAGGCCCUAGGGGCAUAUUCGCUCAUAUUUCACCCUUAAAUGAAAUAUGAAGCAACAAAAAAGCAAAAAAAAAAAAAAAGCCCAAGGGCCAUCGGAGCGGAAUCCAUGGCGGCCGCCGCCUGCUGCUCAUCGCCGUGCAGUCCGCCGGCGGGAUCCUGACGACGGCGAGAAGAUUGGAACGGCCAGCCGGGCCCCGCGGCGCGGAGGAGGGAGGGAGUUCGCUCCAGUCGCGCCGCCCGCGAAGAAAGGCCACACUCCUACCCUGCGGAGCCCGGUGCCUCGAUCCCAGGGGCGGCGGAGGGCGUCCUCGUCUCCCAUGAGCUGAAGCCGCCGGCGUCUUGCUUCAAUGGAUCUCGGAGGUAUGCAAUCUCGCUAGAUUAUGCCCCUACAGUCCUACACAUAGCACACGGCGGUUCUCUUCUCUAAUUUAUUUUUGCAUACAAAAUCCCGGCCCAAAUUCAACAUGGUCGUAUAAGGGAAGAACAGUUGCUGUCCAUGAAUCCAUGAUCCUACCAAUGUAGUAGAACUAUACGUACUAAUAAAACCAUGGAAAUAGAUAAUGCCUGGUUUCUCUUCUCAUCUGAAUCAAACAUCUAAAUUGUGGACUGUCUGAGCUUAAUUAGUAAUUACCGCCUUUCCAUAAAAAAGGAGCUUAUUACCACCUUCAGAGAAUGCAGGCAUGGUUAGGAGUUGAGACCACUUGACUUGACCGAUCCAUGGAGCUUGGAUGGACCACCUUGGCUGAUCCAUAUGUCUACUUGUUCCAGCUUGCAAUUUCAGCAGCAUAAUGUACAUGUCAGCUAAUUUGCCGUUAACUUCAAACCUGCUGCCAUCAAAUAGCAGCAAGCUGCAGGGAAGAAAAUAUGGCAAACUUAAUCACAAUACAAGCUAUCCCAAAAGUGUAGUGCGAAAUACACUAUAACUAAUAAAAGACGGCAAUAGGAAGCUCUAACAACAACGAAUUAAGGGGAGUUUUGUUUGCCCAGAUCCUUUGCAAACCGCAAAUUCUUCACUAGUUCACUCCUUGCGAUUUCAGUUUUGUUUGCCCAGAUCCUCUGGACGUCCUUCUAUUAAAUUAAUUUGCCGUUUCUCAUUCUGGAAAAUAACCCUAACAGCAUACUACAUUUACAUGGUAAAUUACAUACAGUCAUACAGAAUUGCGGAUACAUGAAUCAACAAGUAGCAUGCACUCACCAUGUAUAAUAUUUGGAUCAUGCUAAUUCCUGAAGCUGCUUGGGUGGUUCUUUGCUUCACUAUCCUUUUGGUUUUGAUUCGCUGUAUCUGUCUGAGCAUUCCUCUGCUCCCUUUCGCCUUUCGGCCCUAUAAUUGCUUGUCCUGCACUCAUGAGGACUCAUUUACGUCCUUAUUAGGUUACUCCUGCAUAGGUUGAACAUUGCUGGUUUUUCUAUUAUUCUGCUGAGUUGCUUCAGUAUUGCCUUCAGGUGCUUCAUCCUUGUCCCACAGUCUGCUCUUCUGGAUACCACAGUGCCAAAGGAAUGCCCAGAUGAGGACUAUGGAUUCACCUCUUGCUUAUCAAGGUUGUUCUUGUGAUCUGCUGCAUUCCACCUGGAGGCGAUGUGCACAAGUAAGUCAGCCCAGACUCCAGCUAUAAUCUACCAACGGCUUUCUUCAUUCUCGUAUUUGAUGAGAUCCUUGACUAGAGUAGCACCUUGCUCAAUUAUGCUCAUACUAAGCCUCCAUCCACACUGUGGCUUCCAUGAGUUUGUUAUAUCUAUAUUGAAUCAAGUUACAAUCUGUGAGUCGUCGGCGAGCAUGUCCCACGGUUUCCGAAAGAUAACCUCGGGUACAACAAAACCAUCUGGAAAUAUUCCAGGCUGAAAAAUCUGGAAACAGCACGGAGCACAGUAUUGUGGCUGUUGGAGAAGAUUUAGUUUUCAGCCAUCUGGUUUGGAUAUAAACUGCUUUCACGAUAUGCCAACGAUUUUUGUUGCGCUUGUCGUCGGCUCAUGCCUUGGAAUUUGCAACCAUCCUGGAAAUCCUGGCCAUGUAGAGUUAAGCUACGGUUAGGAUUCAAAACGGCACCAGCGUGCCCUUAUACAUAGAUACAAAGGCAGACGAUUUUCUUCCAUAUUAUUUGAUAUUUCUUAUAAGUCGUCUAAAAUUAAGCAUAAGGUGUAACUUCGGGGACAUCUGAUAAAACCCAUAUGCUGCAUAUAAUUCGAUGAAGACAUGUACAUAUAUAUCCAAGAAGUUGAAACAAAACGAGAAAAACAGCCAUGAAUAAAUCACACAUGCCCACGUGCACGGGAUGCAUGAUGUCUGUGGAUCAGGCUGCAAUGAGGUCAACAAGGUCUAGCAGCUGCUGGCCAUGGUCGGUAUCUGCACCGAGGAAGCCAGCAUGCGACAGCCGAGAGCAGAGCCCAGAGGUGCGUCGUCAGCUCUCCCUGCCCUUGGAGGUGUAUCUGAUGAUUGGCUGCUCUCGUGGACGCCGACAGGUGCAGGAGAAACCCUGCCCAAAACUUACCCAGGCUCCCUGUCGACAGCACCAUAUGUGGACAUGAGCUCCAUCGACAGCUUCGCGCCGAUCUUGACAAUGGACAGGCCCUUCUGCUGGUCAGGCGCCCACACCGUCGCAACUAGCGUGUCAUGGACCUUCCCCAUCGUGCGGCAACCCCUCAAAUCAUAGUAGACCUCUUCACGGCGUCGAACACCUUAUUGGCCACGAGGCAUUGUCUGGCACCAGCGCCUCCGUGUCCAGGUAGGCGCAAUAGUUGGACAGGCUCACCACGCGCCUCAAGGCCCCGAAGAAGGGUGGAGGGCAGGCUCAACGUGUACAAAUCACCUGGGGAUCCUGUGGCUUCCCCCCAGCAGCAGCAGCAGCAUCAGCUUGAUAUGUCAGAGGCUGGUGGCGACAUGCCAUACCCAGAACCUUGUGGGGUCACCGGCCUUGAGCGCGUGGUGGAUAGCGCUGAUUUUGGACUGCAAUAAUCUCUUUUCGGCGAAGGCCUUCCAAUGGUGAGACAUGAGUAAUUUGUUUCUCUUUUCCUGAUCCCAGAACACAGCAAAGAACGACAGAAACAACAGGCGAACACAAGAGGGAUUUUGCGACACCUUAACUUGCGCCUUUUCUGACAUUUCUUUUUUAUUCAAUCGCGGAACUCAGCAAAAGCUUGCUGGCCCGACAUGUCCGCCAUGACCCAACAUACACGCCCUCUAGGGCGACCAGAUCAAAUAACCAUAUAUAUCAGCUAGCGUGAUCAUAACUUUCAGGUUUACAAAACUGACGUGAGACGAAACAUAAAUAACGUGGUUUGAGAUACCACACAACAAGGCUUAACAUUAACCGUGUACUCAGGCAUUCAGGUCAUCUGUGUCAAGCAUCUGAUGACCAUGGGUGGUGUCACCAAGGAAGCCGGCGUGCGACAGCAAAGCCCAGAGGAACGUGGUGAGCUCUCCCUGCCCUUGGAGGUGAACCUGAUGCUUAGCUGCCGUGGUGUUUGCCGACAGGUUAAGGAGAUAUCCCGCCCAGAACCUGCCCAGGCGCUCCCAUAGGUCCUCCCCGUCGACGGCGUAUGUUGACAUGAGCUCCAUUGACAGCUCCGUGCCGAUCUUGACGAUUGACGGGCCAUUUUGCUGGUGAUCAGGUGCCGACAUCUCCGCAACCAGUGCGUUGUGGACCUCCCCCAGCGUGCUGCACUUGCUCAAAGUGUAGGCAGCCUCUUCACAUACUGCGUUGAACACCUUGUUGGUGACAAUGCCAUUGUCCGGCACCAGGGCCUUGGUGGCCAGGUAGGCACAGUAGUUGGACAGGUUCACAGCCGUGGAAUAAUGCUCCGGCAGGCCUGCCAUUGGGCAUAGGCUGUACAAGUCGACUCCGGCAGAUUCCCUGGCUUUCAUCUUCAGCAGCAGCUUUAUCUGGCAGAGGUUGGUGGCGACAUGCCAGACCAGAAUUCUUUGGGUCUCGCCGGAGUCGAGGGCACAGUAGAUAUCGCUGAUUUUGGAUUGCAGCUGUCUGUUGUUGCCCAAGGCCUUUCGGUGUUGAGACAUGAGUAAUCUGUUUCUCCUUUUCUGAGCCAAAGCCGAUGAUGGUUUCUUCUUCGCAUCUUCAGCAGACGCUUCGCUCACGACUUGGUUGAGUGACUCAAAUAUCACCCUCUGUACGUUAAUCCCCAGCUUGACUGAUCUGGCAAGGCAAAACGAUAUUUAUUCAUCUUGAAAGAUGAGACUUCUAUAUAUAUUAUAAAUGGAAUCUAUAUAUUCCAAAGUACACAUAGCAUCUGGCCUGGCAUUUUUGGAACUUACUAGCUAGGCAGUGUUAAAUCAAGAAGGAAGGAAGGUGUUGUUUGCAUGAGUAUAUACCUGGAGCGAAGUCGUCUAUUUCGGGUGGUUUUAGCUCGAGCGGCCAUCAAUAGGUUGUGCUGUCGUAUGUUUUGAUGCCACCGGCCCCUUCUGACGAGGCAGAACAUGAUCCUGGCCACCUUCUCCAUCACAAAGCGAUGGAGCAUCGGGGUCCACCCUGUCGGACUCUGUGGCAGCCGGAUGUAGUGGCAGAUGAUCACCACCUUGGUCCACUGAGACAGCACGUAGACACCCAUCUCCCACAGCUCCCUGCAGACCAUGAUCAAGAUGAUGAAGCGCGUGACGGAGCCACCGUGGGUAAUCCUCGCCAGGUAGCCGCCUUUGGUGACGGCAAUGGUUGCUGUGGGCAGGCCACGGACAGCAUACGCCAGGUAGGACGCUGCACCGGUCAUGAGCAGAGACAGCAUCAGCCUCAGCGUAGGGAAGCCGUCAGCGAAGACGACCGGGUGCUUGCUGUAGGACAAGUCCUGGAACAAAGACGGCUCGACCUCCGUGACGCGGAACACCCUCGUAGCCGUGGUUUUCCGGUUGCUCGUCGAUAAGGUGGGCGACGAGCUUCCUUGAGGCCGGGUGAUUGGCCUCCGGUAUGGGGAAGUCGAAGAAGCGGUGGCGGAGAAGCUUGUAGAGUGCGAAGGAGAGGCACAUGUCCUUGAACCGGCUGUCGCGGUCGGCGCCCCUGCCCAGCAACUUGUCUUGGGCGUCGUCACUGCAUUUCCAUACCCUGGCCACCGUGAUGAGGUCCUCUUUGUGUGUCUUGUCCAGAUGAAACAUGAACCUGGGCCUCUGGAUCAUCUUCACCUGCCAUUCUUCCCCAAGGACUAAGUAAUCAUACCAGGCCAUGAAUGUGGUCUCCGCCUCGGUGAUGGCGCUGGUGUCGUCCUUCUGCUGCCUGGACGCCAUGUAGUUGCUGACGAGCUUCAUGUUGUCGACGCAGGCGCCGGAUGCCUUGUUGGAGAAGUAGAACCAGAUGACCCGCAACGCGUGAAUGGUCCAGAUGAUCCAGAGAGGCGCCUUGAGGUACCUGGCUGUUCUUGCCCGGAGCUGGUUGGUGGACCACAGGGAGUUGAGCAGGUCCAGCGUGGACAGCUGCCGGGGCUUUUACGGCCGCCUGAUUCGGGCGCUGUCCUGCAUGGUGACAAUUAGGAUGGCCCAUACCUGGAAGAGGUCGUUGGUGACGGACCCUCUCUCGGCGGAAAACGGCUGCAUCAGGCCGAGGCUGUAGGACACAAAGUAGUGGCUGAGUAUCAUGAUGAUCUGGACGCCGAGCUUGACGUUCUGGGACGAGACUGUGAACCGUGGCCCAAUGGCGCCCACGGCGAACUUGAGCAGCAGCACCACCACCGACGACACCACCCAGAACUGCACGCUUGCUGCACGGGUCGACGGGUCAUGCUGGAACAGUGAUCGCACCGUCUCGGGGAUGGAUGACAGAAACUCCGACGCCAUCUUGCUGGCCGGCCCCAGGUGGCAACGCCCUCCUCGGUACUACGUACCCAGCUAGCUCUACUAGCUCUGGCCCGUCAAGGCUCUAUCCGCCUCCGUUUCGAGAUGUGCGGCAAGUAGGCGGUCAGUAGCUGCUAAUACAGGUAUUUCUCUUUUUUUAAAGAAGGAGCAAGCUCCAGAUUUCAUUAAGGAAAUCACACAAGGUUCAAGGUUGCUCCUAAUACAGUUUACUAGUACUAUUUUCUUCGUUAUGGACCACAACGACAGGUGCCUGGCGCUUAGAUGUAGACCAACCUUGUGCAUAUGCUAGGAGAUAUCGAGUGUGAAACUAAUGUACUAUAUAUUUCACAAUGUGUCAUACUCAUUACACGCAACAACUGGGGCUUUUCUGCUUUCCUUCGGCCUAUUCAGCCCCAAAGCCACCGGCAAGCCACCGGCUGUUAGGGCGAGUUGGCGUGGGCAGUCUUCUUCUUUUCAGCUUAGUAAAACAUCGAAGCCCCCAAGCUCUCAAUUGUUCGUGCGAGUUGGCGAACUUGGGCGGAUAGUUUUCUUGUUCUCUCAUUUUAAGAAAAUUUACAUCAAAGCCUCCAAGCCCUCGAUUGUUUAGGCGAGUUGAAUAACUCGGACGGGAAGUUUGUGAUGGUUCUAUAGACUUGUCUAUUAAAAAGGUUAGAGUAACAUGUCAGAAAAUUGAAAAACCCCAACGGAAGCAUAUGGUGAAUAACUUUCCUAAAGAUAACCCAAGAGCCUGAUAUCUUACACAAACUCGAGGUGCGGAGAGUCGUGGAACUUGCAAUUAGAAAGCCCUGAGCUUAUAUGAGCGGGGAAGGGCAGAGAUGCGGGCUCGUUUCAUGAGUGGGAACAAUGUGGGGAAUAGACCACACUGGACCUGGUAGACUUUAUUCAUGAUAUAAAAAAGAGGCUAUACCGAUAUGAUCCACGUUUUUGUAUAAGUCAGGGAUCUCUUCGUCGUCACACGCAAAUCGAUAUGAUCCACGUCGUGGGUUGGCUAUACCGUAGUGAAGGGGCCUUCCCACUUAGAGAUGAGAGUUUAUUUUGUUCUUUGGUGGAUUGGAUAAGUGGGAGAACGAGAUCCCCAACAUAUAUCUGGAGUUCUCUUCUUGGCGUUGUGCUUCAAAAUGGCGUCAGAGCUAGUCCUUGCUGGUAGAUAACAACUAGUACUAACGACAUGGCGCAUGUUCUUCGACUGUGUCAAGGUCGUCCUGUCGACACGAAAAACCGGCUUCCUCGUGAAACUAGAUUGCCUGAGGGACCUGAUCUUGAGUUCAGAGGGCAACAUGCAUGGUCUCAGCCUCGAAGACCAUAGUUAAAGAUGUGUCGCUCAUACGUCCGAAACAUAUCUAAUCCUUUCAAAGUUUCCAUUCAUGUUUUUAUUGUUUUUAGUAAGUUUUUGGACUUCAUUACAUUUAACAAACGUCGUCUUCAUUUUGUUAUUUCAGGAAUUUAAACAGGACGUCAGCAAAAUGACGGAGCCAGGGCCCAUACGAAGGUCUCGGGCGACCAGAGCAGACGUCCCGGACCUUUGGCCUGGGAGCCUUCGUCGCCGUCGCCUUUUGACAUAUUCUUCGUCCCCCGACUUAAAAGACAUUUUUAUAAAUUCCGUGCACAGAAAAAACCGCCUAUUAGAAAGCGAAGCAAAUCCAUAGAAAUUUCUGCCGCCGGAAAAGGACCUGACUGUACCAGCUCGUGAUACCUAAGGACCUGGAUUCAGUGAAGUCACUUCACCUGACUUUGGGUGGCUGACAUGUGGGUCCCAUGACCCAUUGGCCCACGUGUCAGCCACCCGUUGGAUUCAGUGAAGUUACUAGUACCGAACUCUACCGAUGGAGCUCUAUCCUUCCCGGAGAUGCGCAGCAAGUAGCUCCGAAUGCAGUUUUUUACUAGUGUGCCCGCUACGGACCACAAAGAAAGACAGGUGCGCGCGGCCGCGCAUUCUGUCUAUUAUAUACUGCUCAGCUUAUUUUGUAUAAGCACUUAGAUGUAGACUAAACUUAGCCCAAACUUACACAUAUGCUAGUGUACUUUGAUACUCGUAACGAUAAUUUAGAAAAGCUGACCCCAGCUUAGCCUCUUGCAAGCAAUUUGACAUAGACCGCCGUAUACAUUAAUUACUCUAUAUAUGUAACCAAAGGGAAUGGCCCUCGCAAUUUUGUACACAUUCUCUUAGUCUAUGGUUUCGGAAAUUAUAAUGAGCUAACGUCUCAGCUCUCCGGCAUGCAAACUCACUCAUUCGACCCUAACCUCCCUUUUGCUAAUUGCAUUUCUUCUUCACAAAAUAAUUAGAUUAUUAAUAUAAUUACCUUGUUAAUAUAUAAUUCAUGCGAUUUAAAUUGAUACCAUUUUAUUCGAAUACAAAAUACAUAUUUAUGGUUAUGAUUUGGAUCAUAUAAGUCUCAUAAUAAUGGAGAGCAGUUGCUGACCAUGAAUCCAUGAUCCUACCGAUGUAGAACUACUAGUAAACCAUAGAAAUGGAUAAGGCCUGGGUUUUUUUUCACCUCUUCUCAUCUGAAUCAAAUAACUAACUACAUUGUGGACUGUCUGAGCUUACCACCACCUCCAGAGAAUGCAGACAUGGUUCGUAGUUGAGACCCCUUGACCGAUCCAGAGUAGAGUUGAGACCCCUUGACUGAUCCAUAAGUUCACUUGGUAUUCCAGCUUACAAUUUCAGCAGUGCCAUCUGAGCAAGCAGGACAGGAAGUAUGCCAAUUUAAACCACAAUUCAAGCUAUCCCAAUGUGUAGGGUGAAAUACACAAUAAGCAUUAACAGCAACGUCCAGCAGUGACAACAAAUUAAGGGGAAUUUUGCCAGGAUCCUUUGCAAACCGCAAGUUCUCUAUUCCAACCGAUUCACUGAACUUGUUCAAGUCACUGUUGUGUUUGAUCUAGAUGUCCUUCCAAGUAAAUCUGGCAUUUCUUUUUCGAGAUCAGUUUAUCAAUUUCUCGUAUUAUGUUACGGUUUUGCUAAAUCUCAGGCAACUGAGAAAUAAGGAAAUAGCUUAUUUCUUGGUCGAUCUUUUUUCAGCCGUCCGAUUUGCUGAUGCCUCAAGAUUCAUGCCCCUGGCUGCCUGAGCAACGGGCUGACGACUGCCUGCUGCUGUUUGUAUCGGGAAUAGAUGUUGUGGGCUUUUUUAGGUGUGUGUGUUGGACUUUAGAUGUGAGGACGGGUUUGGAAAUGGGCAUGCUUUUCGUUUUUCUAGGCUCUCACGUGGUUACUGGCACCAUCCUGAGAAAAAAGAUCGAUGGAGGGGAGACGGAAAGUCCCAUGAGCAGUGCCCGUCGGUAAUUUUUGAUUUCAUUUUUAUUGGCAAUGUGUUUUUAGUGUGAAAUUUUAGUUCAUUUUUAUUUUUUACGAUACCCCAACUCAGUUGCACAUUCGAAUGAAAAAUGUGCAACUAAUAUUAUUUUUGACUUCUCCCUAUAUAACAUACUAAUCCGCGAUGUGUUUUUAGGGUGAUUCUGAGUUUACUUUUUUUUUAUGAAAACCUAGCUUGGUUGCACAUUCUAAUGAAAAGUAUGCAACUAAUUUUAUUUUUUUGGUGUUUCUCUAUAUAUCAGAUGAAAUCUAGCGUAGUUGUACAUUGGGAGAUGUAAGUUAGUAGCCCAGUUGCGCGCUUUGAGUUCUAUUGUGAAACUCUCUUUUUUUUGGCAUGGGGAACAAGAUGUGUUUCUGUGGUGGGGGGACCUUAAUAGGUUACGAAGCUCAGUUGCACAUUCCGACAAACAAUGUGCAACUAAGGCUCUCUUUGUGUAUUUUCCUAUAUGAACUUGGUGCUUUAUUUUUGUUCAAUAUUCUUUUUGACAAAUCAGUAAAGAUCAAAUAAUCUCAAUUCAUGGAUAUUAGGUAGUAGCCUACUUGCACAUUUCAAGUCAAAGUGUGCAACUAGGUUUUUUUCUUUCAACGGGGUGGCGUCGUAAGGCAUGCAAAUAGGGCUGCUACGGGUGCUUAUUGAAUGUGUUUUUAGUGUGAUUUUGAGUUUCACUUUUAUUUUUACGGAACCCACAUUCGAAUGAAAAAUGCGCAACUAAUAUUAUUUUGAUUUUUCCCAGUAUUUGAAAACCCUAUAUGAAAUCAUAUAUUGAGCGUGAUUUAGAACUUAGUUGUUUUAAAACACUAGCUAAGUUGCACAUUCCGACAAACAAUGUGCAACUAAGGCUCUCUUUGUGUUUUUGUCCUGUAUGAACUUGGCAUUUUUAUUUUUGUUCAAUAAUCAUUUUGGCAAGUCGGAAAGGAUCACAUAAUCUCAACCCAUGGAUAUUAGGUAGUAGCUUAGCUGCACAUUUGGAGUCAUAGCAUGCAACUCGGUUUUUUCUCUUUCAACAGGGCAGCAGCGCAAGGCAUGCAAAGAGGGAUGCUGUGGGGCGCUUAUUGGCGAUAUGUUUAGUGUGAUUUCGAGUUCAUUUUAACUUUUAGGAAACCCAACUCAGUUGCCCCUUUGAAUGAAAUACGCGCAACUAAUAUUAUUUUUUGACUUUUCCCUGUAUAUUAUAUGAAACCCUAUAUGAAAUCAUAUAAUUGAGCGUGAUUUAUAGAGCUCAAUUGUUUUACGAAGCACUAGCUAAGUUGCACAUUCCUAUGUGUGUUUUUAUGUAUGAACUUGGCGUUUUUAUAUUUGUUGAACAUUCUUUUUGACAAGUCGGAAUGGAUCACAUAAUCUCAACCCAUGGAUAGUAGGUAGUAGCUCAGUUGCACAUUUCGAGUCAUAGAUUGCAACUCGGUUUUUUCUCUUUCAACAGGGCGGCGGCGCAAGACAUGCAAAGUGGGAUGUUGCGGGCGCUUAUUGGCGAUGUGUUUUUAGUGUGACUUUGAGUUUAUUUUUACUUUUAGGAAAACCAGCUCAGUUGCACAUUCGAAUGAAAAAUGCGCAACUAAUAUUUUUUUUUGGCUUUUCCCUCUAUAUUAUAUGAAACUCUAUAUGAAAUCAUAUAAUUGAGCGUGAUAUUGAACUCAAUUGUUUUACGAAGCACUAGAUAAGUUGCACUUUCCGACAAACAAUGUGCAACUAACGCUCUCUUUGUGUAUUUUCUUGUAUGAACUAGGGGUUUUCAUUUUUGUUCAAUAUUUUUUUUCACAAGUCGGAAAGGAUCACAUAAUCAUUUCAAGUCAUAGCGUGCAACUCGGUUUUUUCUCUUUCAACAUGGUGGCGACGCAAAGCAUGCAAAGAGGGUUGCCGCUGGGCACUUAUUGGCGUUGUGUUUUUCAGUGUUAUUUUGAGUUAAAUCUUUUUUACAAAACCCAGCUCAAUUGCGCAUUAGGAUGAAAAAUGUGCAAGUAAUAUUAUUUUAGGAUGUGUCUUGGUACCUAUGUUUUUUUGGGUGAGUUGCACAUUACCUCUCCAAAUGUGUAAUUAAGUUUUUUGAGAUGUGAAUUGCACAUUAACUCUUUAUAUGUAAUUGAGAUUUUUGUGUGUGGGUUGCACAUAACUGAAACUUAAUAUAAUUUUUUGGGUGAAUUGCACAUCACUUCUCCUAAUGUGCAAUUAAUUGUUUGGGUUAGUUGCACAUUAAAUAUAUUGAUGUGCAAUUGAGGUUGUUAAUGUGUGAUGUGUGUAUGACUGAGAUUUAAACGUAUUUCUUCAUUGCUGAGACUUAAGAGAAAUUUUUUUAAGUGAAUUGCAUAUCAUCUCUCCUAACGUUCAAUUUGUUUUUGUGGGUGAGUUGCACGUUAAGUAUAUUGAUGUGCAAUUGAGUUGUUUUAUGUGUGAUUUGUGCAUGACUGAGAUUUGUAUUUUUUCACGACUGAAACUUGAGAGUAUGUAUUUAUGUGAAUUGCACAUCACCUCUUCUAAUGUGCAAUUUUUUGGAGGGUGAGUUGCACGUUAAGUAUACUGAUAUGAAAGCGAGUUAUUUUAAUUGUGAUUUGUGCAUGAUUGAAAUUUAACUGCAUUUCUUCGCGACCGAGACUUAAGAGUAUUUUCUUAGAUUAAUUGCACAUCAUCUCUCCUAAUGCGCAAUUUAUUUUUUCAUUUUUUUCUUACAUGCUUUUUUUUGGUGUUAAUCACAACGGUUGGUGUGAGUUUACUUCAUCAAAGUCUUUAUCUUCCAAUAAUUCUCUCUAGACGGGACCCAAGUCGCACAUUUGUUUUUUCUUUUUUGCUAGAAUUGCUUGGUCCGUUUUUCUUUUAUGUGUUGUCUUUCAAUCAGAAAAAGAAAAGAAAAAAAAAGCCCACACAAGCAAGCAAAGGCCCAGUCGGAAGGUGGGAUUUGGCUAAUACACACACGCACACCCGAUAUACCAGCCCAAAAAACAGCCCAGCUAGCCACAGACAAAAAGGCCAAACAUGGCAAGCCCAAAUAAGAAAAAGCCUCCUCUAAAAAAAACAAGAAAAAGCCCAAACACUCACCGUACGUGCGCUGAGGAGAUCGUGGGGAUCGAUCCAGAUUUGGGCUACGCAUUGACCGAGAAACUGUUGUUUGUCUGUCGCCUGAGCGAUAGUCGGACCCAUUAUGUUAACCAAGGUGAUCAGUAGCACCUUGCUGAAUUAUUGCCUCCCAUCCACGGUCUUCCGCGGCUUCCAUGGGUUUGUUAGGGUGUGUACAAUGAGAUGAUGUCAGCCUUUUCUUAACGAUGUCACAUAGGAUAAUUGCUGACGUAGAAAAGAGAGGAAUGAAAAAAAAAGGCUUGAGCCUUCUCUUAAUUAAAAGAUGAUCUCUUCACAAGAAUGAUAAGGCAAUUUUCCAUUAUACGAGAUUUCACAUUUUUCUUAACAUUUAUUUAGUUAAUUUAUUCAUCAAAGCAUUAAUUGUAAAAAUGACACUAAGAGAUACCUAUUGUACAACAUGUUUUAUUGUCUUUUUUAAAUGACGUGUAACACAUAAGAAAAGACAGUUUUAUCAACCAUCGUACAUCCCCUUAUACCUAUAUCGUAUCAAGUUACAAUCUGUGAGUUGUCUGCAAGCAUGUCCCAUGGUUUCCUUGAAGAUCAUCUCGGGUACAACAAAACUAUCUGGACACAGUGCAGGCUGAAAAACCUGCAGAUAAGCACAGUAUUGUGACAAGCUGUUGGAGAAGAGUUAGUAUUCAACCAUCUGGUUUGGAUAUAAACAGCUUUUACAAUAUGCCAACAAUUUUUGUUGGGCCUGUCAAGGGCUUAUGGCUUAGAAUUUGCAACCAUCCUGGAAAUCCUGUCCAUAAGCUACGUUUAGGAUUCCAAAUGGCAGCAGCACGCCUUUAUAUAUAGUUAGAAAGGCCGAAAUUUUGCCUCCAUAUUAUUUGAUAUUUCUUAUAAGUCGUCUAAAAUGCAUAAUAGUAGCUGCUUACAAUUCGAUGAAGACAUGUUCAUAUCCGAGGAGUCGGAAAGAAGUUGAAACCAGACAAGACCAACAGCCAUGAAUGAAUCACACACACAGCCAUGAAUAGUGCUGAUCACUUGAUCAGGCAGCGUUGAGGUCAACAGGGUCAAGAAGCUGCUGGCCAUGGUCGGUGUCUGCACCGAGGAAGCCGGCGUGCGACAGCAGAGCCCAGAGGUGUGUCGUCAGCUCUCCCCGCCCUUGGAGGUGUAUCCGAUGCUUGGCCGCUAUUGUGGACGCCGACAGGUGCAGGAGGAACCCUGCCCAAAACUUACCUAGGCUCUCCCACAGGUCCUCCUUGUCGACGGCACCAUAUGUGGACAUGAGCUCCAUCGACAGCUUCGUGCCGAUCUUGAUGAUAGACGGGCCAUUCUGCUCGUCAGGCACCCACGCCGCCGCGACGAGCGUGUUGUGGACCUCCCCCAGCGUGCGGCAACCCCUCAAAUCGUAGUUGGCCCCUUCACGCACAGCGUCGAACACCUUGUCGGCCACAAGCCCGUUAUCCGGCACCAACGCCUCCGUGACCAGGUAGGCACAGUAGUUGGACAGGCUCACCACCGUGGCAUAAUGCGCCUCGAGGCCCCGAAGUAGGGUGGACGGCAGGUUCAGCAUGUACAGGUCGCCUGGGGAUCCGGUGGCUUCCUCUCCCAGCAGCAGCAGCAGCAGCUUGAUCUGGCAGAGGCUGGUGGCAACAUGCCAGACCAGAACCUUGUGGGUGUCGCCGGCCUUGAGUGCGUGGUAGAUAGUGCUGAUUUUGGACUGCAACGAUCUCUUUUCAGCGAAGGCCUUCCAAUGGUGCGACAUGAGUAAUUUGUUUCUCUUUUUCUGAGCCAGAGAUGCAGAUGAUGAAUUGUUCGUCUUCCCAUCUUCCGCCAAAGAAGACGCGGCACUCAAGGCUUGGUUUAGUGACUCAAAUAUCACCUUCUUUAUAUUGCUUCCCAGCUUGACCGACCUGGCAAAGCAACGAUAUAUGUGUUCAUCUUGAAAGAUAAAACUACAAUCUGUUCCAAGCUACAUUUAUCUGUACACUUUGGAUCAAGUUAUGUACUACUCAUUUGGGUGGUGGUAAAUUAAGAAGGGAAAUGUGUUGUUAAUUAGAGUUGUAUAUACCUUGAGCGAAGUCGUCUGUUUGGGGUGGUUUUAACUUGAGCUCCAAUUAGUAGGUUGUACUGUUGGAUCUUCUCAUCCCAUUGUCCCCUCCAGACAAGCCAGAACAUGAUCCUUGCCGCCUUCUCUGUCAUCCAGCGCUGUAGCAUCGGCACCCACCCUGUUGGACGCUGUUUCUGCCGGAUGUAGUUGCAGACGAUCAACACCUUGGUCCACUGUGACAGCACGUAAACGCCAAUCUCCCACAUCUCCCUGCAGACCAUGAUCAAGAUGAUCCAGCGUGUGACCAACACACCAUGGGUGAUCUUGGCGAGGCGGCCGCCGGCAGUGACGGCGGUGGUUUCUCGAGGCAGGUCAUGGACAGCGUAGGCCAGGUACGAGGCUGCCGAGGUCAUGAGCAGCGACAGCAUCAACCUCUGCGUGGGGAAGCCGGCGGCAAAGACGACGGCGUGUUUGCUGUAGGACAAGUCCUGGAGGAAAGAAAGCUCGACCUCCGUGACUCGGAACACCCUCUCGUGGUUGUCAUCGAGGAUAAUUUGGGAUAUGAGCCGCCUCAUGGCCGGGUGGUCGGCCUCCGGGAUGGGGAAGUCAAAGAAGCGGCGGCGGAGAAGCUUGUAGAGUGCGAAGGAGAGGCACACGUCCUUGAACCGUCCGUCGGCAUCCUUGCUGAGCAGCCUGUCGCCGCUGUCAUGGUGGCUCCACACCUUAUCCAGUGUGAUGAGCUCCUCUGGCCUCGUAUUGUCCAGCUGGAACCUAAAGCUAGGCCUCUCGAUCUUCUUCACCUGCUCAUCUUCGCCGAGGACCAAAUACCUGUACCCGACCAUUGUCUUUGGGCAGGCGUCGUGGUCAGCGUGCUGCGACGAUGAUGACGCCAUGUAGUCGCCGACGAGCUUCAUGUUGUCGGUGCUGGCACCCUCUGCGCUGUCAGAUGACACGUAGUACCAGAUGAUGCGCGAGGCAUGGAUGGACCAGAUGAUCCAGAGGGGUACCUUGAGGUACAUGGCCGUCUUGGCCCGGAGCUGGUUGGCCGACCACAGUGAGGUGAGCAGGUCGACGGUGGACAUCUCCUGUGGCUUGUACGGCCGUCCAAUGCUGACGCUAUCCUGCAUGGUGACGAUGAGCACGGCCCAUACCUGGAACAGGUCGUUGGUUGCAGACCCUUGCUCGGAGGUAGACGGCUGCAUGAGCCCCAGGCUGUAGCUCACGGAGUAGUGGCUGAGAAUCCGCAGGAUCUGGACGCCCGGGUUCACGUACUGGGAGGACACCAUGAACCGGGGCCCCAUGGAACCCACGGCGAACUUCACCAGCAACAGCCACGUCGACGCCAUCACCCAAAACUCCACGCUGGCGGCGCGGGUCGUUGGGUCAUGACGGAACAGCUCUCGCACCGUCUCGAGGAUGGAUUGAAGGAACUCGAACAACAUGUUAUUCGCCGGCAUCAUAUAUCUCUUGAUCGGCGAUGACAACGACGACGACGCACUAGCUAACUAGCCUCCUCAAUUAGUGAGAAAGCUAAGUACUCAUCAGUUAGCUAGCUACUGCCUACUAAUAUUGUUCUCCCUGACGUACAGGCAGCGCGCCCCUAGACCUGAUCAGAGCAUCUAGCUAGAGCUCUCUUAGUCAAGAUCCGUACGUUUUUCCAGAUCACGCAAAAUAUAUUAGCCACUUACUCGAAAUACUAUGUUCUUGACAAUAUAAUUGUAAGGAGUGACUAUCCACACACCGUCGUGGUUCUGUUCUUGUAUGCUUUUAGUUAGCCAGUGUUUCUAGAUCUGGAUCAACCAUUUGUUUCUGAAUGAAUAAUAUAUAUGGGGACUUGACUACAGCUUGGCGUUUGUUUAACAAAGGUUUAGCGCAAUCCAAAAGAUUCCCCUGCAUGGAAAGCUUCAGAAAAAGCGCCCCGUGGUUGACAUAAAAUGUGACAUCACACAUUCGUCCAUGAAUUACGUAGCAGAAAGUACGUAGUGGGCAAUCUAAAACACUGAGAUAGUCAAGCAAGUUAAAAAUUCGUGACCAGUAGGGAGACGUGAAUUGCCACAUGACAAGGUUUGUGAAGGACUUGAGAUUUUGGUGUAGUCCGUGUCAUUCUAAACCACACAUUUGGAGCAUCUUCUUUUCCUAUUAUCAUGAGAGUAUUGUUUGACCUUCUGUGUUUCCCUUAGCUUUACUGAAGAACCCUAUGACUUGUACUAUAUGCCAAUUGGCAACUGCAUUUGCAUCUGCACGUGACUAACAUGACUUCCGGGUCUACUCCAUCUGGUCUUGAUAUUUGUUCUGACAUAAAAUAUUCAAGGCAAUACAGGAACAAUGAUCUUUCAAUGUAAUACAUGCAUGUAAGAGGGGAGUUUUUCCCUUCUCUUUUGGUUCUUUUUUAUUUUUGCAGUCUCCAUCUCCUACACGUGCACUCCUAGACUUGUGUUAAAAACAAUGAAUUGGUGAAGAAUCUUGUUUAUAUAUGGAGCAAUAGUAAAAUCCUGGUUCGACAGUGGAAGCAGAUAAAUAAUUUUGAAUCACUUCCACUUCGCCUACUAGCUAGCUAGCUAGUUGCACUAUUUCUCUUUUCUGCUUGCAGGCAUCUCACGUGAACAAGAAGACUGUAAUUAAUUACCUACUCUGAUUUGGAGGCCAUACGCUGGCUGCAGCUCCCCAAGAAGAAGAAGAAGAAACCCUUUCCUCUACGGGAUCAGAGGCAAGAAGGGUUGUUUGGCCUGGGCAGCAUUUCAAUCAGGUAUACACAUGUAUUAGCUAAAUAUGUUGUUCUGCUGUUUGCCGAGCCUUAAAAUUAACUUGAUAUUUGAAAAUGUUCCAUUUCUACAUCUUUUGGUCAGUUCGAAACUUCAGCGAGCUUAAAAAGAUGAAGAUGGUUGACGUCGGCGGAGUGAUUGCAUCCUUAUUCAUCAUGCUGAAAGAGGACAUCUAUGUCCUGAUCCGCAUUGAAAUCCUGGUGACACUGGUGACGGCGAUGUUCCUGGUGAUGUUCAUCAUGGACUUCUACCGGUGCCGGUCUCGUGGCUCCAUCAUCAUCACGGCCUUGAAGACCGUCGAUGGGCUGUCCGAUCAGAUAGUGGUGUAUCUCCUAGGGGUGAUGCAAUCUGCAGAAUUCGAUAACCAUCUCUUUGCGGUCUGGGCCGUGGUGCUGGUGAGCCUCCGUGCGAGCCUCGGCUACCUCUCCGGGUACGGCAUCCCAGACCGCGAGCGGCGGCUCACUGAGGUGGCAAACGUGGCAAAGUUCCUGGCGGUAGGAAUAUUGAAUGGGACACGCCGCUUGGAGUUCACCAAACCACUCUGGUCAUUGUGGGCCAUUCUGCUGCUAAGGAGCCUGUAUAAAUUUUUUGCCGGUCAGAAGGCUAUAUCAUCCUUGUGGCAUGGCCGGAGCUCGGAGUUCCUCCCUGAGUACAUGCGUGCCUUGCCCGACGACAGUGAAGAGAGCAGCACUGACAAUGGUCCUCAAAAGUACCUGAUUUACGGAGAGUACAGACAGAAGAUCGACUUGAAGAGGCCUGGGUAUACUCUGCAUCUUAAAACCAUCGAAGAGAAUUCGCUCAUCACACUGGACAAGGUGACAAAAUGCAAGGAGCAGCUGAUGAGAUCUGACAGCAGAUACAAGGAUAUGACCAUUGCCUUCACACUGUCCAGGCUGCUUCGCUGUAGGCUUGAAGACGUGACGCUGCACAGAGAGAAAGCUCUAACGACACAACACCUAAUCACUUCAGAGAUCACCGUUGGUGGGCUGGACAGCAACGCAGAGAGAGCAUUCAGAAUCCUGGAGCUGGAGCUUGCAUUCGUCCGAGACUACUUCUACACCCUUUACCCGAUGGUCUUCUGGCAAGGUCUUUUUUCUCUUUGUUUCAGCCUCCUCCUUUCCAUGGCGACCUUUUCUGUCGCGUUUUGGCUGGCCCUGGGCAUCCGCGAGGUCUACCAACCCCCUCAAGAAACACUUGUGCUCUGGGUGCGUGGAUGGAACGUGGAUGCUGUCAUCACAUGGGUGUUCUUGUUCUUCAUGAUGUUCAAGGAGGCCUGGGAGAUGGUCACAUACGUGCUAUCAAACUGGACAAGGUUACUCCUUGUGUGCAAGUACGUGCAGAAGAGCUCGCCUGAUGCUCUCAUGGAGAAUCUGACAAAAUCCAUUUUCAAGUCCAAAAUUGCCAACCCAUGGCACGGUUGCAUCGACCAGUAUGACUUCUUGGAGUCAUAUACUUACAAGCCAUCCUUUUGGAAGCUGGCAAAUGCCCUUUCCAUGGGUAAGGUUCCCAAGAAAACUGAUGGAAAAAAGUGUGGCAAAGCUAUCAAGAUCCCUCAAUGUGUAAAGCCAGCAAUCCUAAAUGCGCUCCUCCGCUUAGGCCUCAACAGCCCUCAGCUGCCCAAAGAAAUCCCAUAUCUGACGCAGAGUGGCUCACCAGUCGAUCAGUUCACACGGUACAGCUGGGCCUACCUUGAGCUGCAUACAUGCUCUCAGGUCAUUCUGGUGUGGCACAUAGCGACCAGCCUCUGUGAGAUCAAGCUUGCACAAGAUCAUGGAAUUGAUUUAACCAACCCUGGGUUCCUGCGGUCUGCCUGGUCGUAUCUGUUGUGCCGCUGCACUUCGCAGCCAUACCUUGUUGGCAAGAGCAGCAAUCUGCAUGAAUCACUGGAGACUAAUUACCAUGUCGCGAAAAGCUUGUCACAGUACUGUGCUUAUCUGCAGGUUUUUCAGCCUGGACUGUUGCCAGAUAGUUUUGUUGUGCCCGAGGUGAUCUUUGAGGAAACCGUGGGACAUGCCCGCGAACGACUCACAGAUUGUAACUUGAUACGAUGUAGGUAUAACAAACUCAUGGAAGCCGCAGAAAACUGUGUGGAUGAGAGGCUCAGUAUGAACAUAAUUCAGCAAGGUGCUACUCUAGGCAAGGAUCUCAUCAAAUACGAGGAUGAAGAAAGCCGUUGGAAGAUUCUAGCUGGAGUCUGGGCUGACUUACUUGUGCACAUCGCCCCCAGCUGGAAUGCAGCAGAUCACAAGAAUAGCCUCGAGGCUGGAGGCGAGUUCAUAACCCUCGUGUGGGCAUUGCUUUGGCACUGUGGCAUCGAGAAGAGCAGCUUGUGGGACAAGGGCGAAGCACCUGGAAGAAAUGCUCCAGUACCUCUGGAAAAUAAUAGUACUGGAACCAGCAACAGUCAACCCGAGGAGGGGCAACAAGUAUCUGAAAUCAAUGCUCAAGUGCUUCAGGGAAAUAAUACUGAAACCAGCAGCAUUCAGCCUGUGGAGGAGCAACCCGAUGAGGAUGUUACUGCUGAAACCGACAACAUCCAGCCCGUGGAGGUGCAACCCGAUGAGGAUGUUACAUCGAAUCAAACUCAAAGUGAGACUGAAGAAAUAUCUCCGAGCAACUCCACGAAUUAGCUUCGCCCCCCAUGCUAUGGUAAGUCUUCUACCUGUACAUUCUUUUUACCAUUAACAUGUAGUAGUAUGCUAACGUUAUGAUGAUUCAGAACAAGAAGUGGCCAAUUCGUUGGAAAGACUCCUGGAGCAAGGGAAAGAAGCACCUUGAACAGGUACACUUCAUUGGUUCGAAGUGCAAACAAAGGACUAGCGGUUUGUAAAUUAUACGCAAAUUAAGUAGCCUUGUUUGGCCCUGAAUUUGUUGUCAUCUAGCUGGAUGUUGUUGUUAAUGCUUCUUACUGUUGUCUUUGAUUGCUUGUUCUGUAUUAUCACCCGGCACUGCAGGAUAAGCUUGUAUCAUGAUUUACUUUGCAAUAUUUUCUGCCCUGCUUGCUGCGUCGGAUGGCAGCGGGUUGGAAGUUGAUACUCUUUUCUUCUGUUUUCUCUAUGGCAAACUUUCCUGCAAACUCUUGUUUAUGUUUUUUUUUCCUCCAUGAAAGUGGUCCUAUAUGCCUCUUGCCUAAAAAACUUAGUCCUAUUUAACAACUGUGCUUCCAAUGGGCGCAGACAGUCCCUCAUUUGCAAGUUCACAGCUUGCAGGCCACGGCGUUUUUUGGUCUAAUCCUUAACCAAUCCAGAUUCCUAGUGAAACGCAGUGUUGUGAACUUCGGACCAUGUCUGCAUUUUCUGAAGGUGGUGAGCUUGCAUAGUCCACACAUUAGUUUUUUGCUUUCAGAUUGCAAACAAGUUGGAUUCGGUGUUCUGAGAACCCAACUCUUUCAAGAAAUUUUCAGGUAAGAACUUGUCUCAUCUCUCUACCUCUAUUCUAACCAUUGAUCGAUCGAGGAAGGUAAGACCAUGGUACUAUUUGUUCCAACUAGAAGUGACAGCUCUAUCAAAACCUUCUCUAGGGAACCAGCAAAAUUCAAAAUAAAAGGGUUUUGCUAUCUUUGGUGGAGUAUUACUGUAAACCAUCAACAGUUACCAGCCUGAUCUGAAACAGAUUUAUUUAAAACAGUAAGAUAAUCACCAUUCCAAAAGUUGUUUACUUAAUUAGGGUGGUAAAACACAGUAUACUUUCUGAUGUCCAUCUCCCAUCGGAGUACGCUGAUGAUCUCAACCUGUAAUUUAACAACGACUGACACACUGGCUACAGUGCCCUCUCAAGCUCAUCAAUGCCGGCGCUAGCUAGCAGCAGCACUCUCAUCACUGGUUUUCACUCACAGGCGUUGAAGCUUGAUGCGAUUAGGAUCAGUAGCUGUAGUUCUUGACGAACAUGCCUUCCUUGGCGGCGGCGGCCUCGCCGUCGCUGGUGUACUUCCCCAGCUGCGCCAG